CGACGGCCAACGGGAGAUGAUAUAUGUGCGGCCACCAAUUCAUCGUUAUUUCUAAUACAGUUAUACAACAUCCAAAUCAACCUCGCCUUCACUUAAACUCUCUCUCCAAUAUCUCAUCUUUCUAAUUCUCUCUCUUCCCCUCUUUUUUCAACCCCGAUUCCUAUUUACAAACCCUAAUUCUUCCUUUUACACACAAUCUCCCCCAAUUUCCCUCUCGAUUUCUAGGGUUUCGCUCAAAAUCUCAGAUCAAUAAAAAUGCCGAUAAAGCCAAAGAAGCAAGGGUACGGACCAGUAAUGGAGACUCUCUCGAGCCAUCUUUGGGUCGGAAACUUACCACCAGAUGUCACCGAAUCUGAGUUGACAGAAUUGUUCGAUAAACAUGGAUUGCUUGAUGGCAUUACAUGUUACGCUUCUAGAAGUUACGCUUUUGUUUAUUAUAAGCGUGUUGAAGAUGCUGCUUCUGCCAAAACUGCUCUUCAAGGGUUUUUAAUUAAUGGCAGUCCUAUUAAGAUUGAGUUUGCUAAACCGGCUAAGCCCUCUAAGCAUGUAUGGAUUGGUGGAUUUGGCUCAUCAGUCACGAAGGAAAAGCUAGAGGAAGAGUUGAGUAAAUUUGGUCAAAUCGAAGACUUUAAGUUCAUUAGAGACCGGAACACUGCACUUGUUGACUUUGCUAGGUUGGAAGAUGCUUCAGCAGCUGUGAAGAAUGUGAAUGGGUUGCAAAUUGGUGAUGAUCGCAUACGGGUUGAUUUUCUGAGAUCCCAUCCCGCGAAAAGGGAACAAUAUGACUUCCAUGAUAUGGGGAGUGGACCAUAUAAAGGCUUUGGCGGUCCUGAUCCAUCAUGGAUAAAUCCAGACAUUAUGAGGAAUUAUUCAGAGCCAAUGUAUUCAGGACAUAAGAGACUGCAGCCAUCUCAACCACUUGGAGGUCGUAAAGGAGGUCAACCCAGCAAGGUAUUGUGGGUUGGGUAUCCUCCUUCUGUUGUGAUAGAUGAGGAGAUGCUGCAUAAUGCCAUGAUCCUGUACGGAGAGAUUGAGAGAAUAAAAUGUUUCCCUUCAAGAAAUUACUCAUUUGUAGAAUUCAGAAGUGUUGAAGAAGCAAAACAUGCGAAGGAUUCCUUGCAAGGAAGGCUAUUUAAUGAUCCCCGAGUCUCAAUAAUGUUCUCAAACAGUGAUUUGGCUCCUGGCAAAGAUUUUGGACCACCACAUUCUGGAUUUAGAGGCCAGAGGCCAGAUGUGUUUGGAAAUGAACUUCCUUUUAGACCUCCCUUUAUGGAUAUGUUUCCUUCAAACCAUGCUAUGCUGCCAAACAAUUUUCAUGGCCCUCCUGCACCUAAUGGUAUGCAUGGUCCUGGUCUACCAAGACCAUAUGGGCCUAGAGGAAGUUUGGAUCCGCUGUUGCCAACUCCAGAUUUUCAUGAUCCCAAUGUGCUUUCUUCAAUGUCUGAUCGGACUGCAAAUGCUGCCGUUAAUCAAAGAAAAUUGUCUCCUUCUGCUGCUGGAUUGCUUCCAUCUCCCGCAUUGCCAGGUAGGGCAUCCUAUAAGACGAGUGGGUGGGAUGUUCUUGAUCCAAAUCAGCUUCCAAGGGAAUCAAAGAGGUCUAGAAUAGAUGGUCCUACUUCAUUUCAUGAUCCUCUCACAGUAGGAAAAGGUGAUGAUUAUAUUGCAAGUGGUGAUCAGCAUUAUAGCUCUGGUCCUCAAUUUAUAGGUGGACCAUUAGCUAGAGCUCAGAUUGAUAGUGGAUUGAGUCCACCAGACACCGGAAUUCCAAAAGGAAACGUUAUGGGACAUGCUAGUGAGGAUUAUAUUUGGCGUGGCGUCAUUGCCAAGGGUGGUAAUCCUGUCUGCCAUGCUCGAUGCAUACCAAUGGGAAAAGGACUAGAGUUUGAACUACCAGAAGUUGUCAAUUGUUCUGCAAGAACAGGACUUGAUAUGUUGGCGAAGCAUUAUGCUGGUGCAAUUGGCUUUGACAUUGUCUUUUUCUUGCCCGACAGUGAAGAGGAUUUUGCUAAUUAUACUGAAUUUUUAAGGUAUCUUGGCUCAAAGAAUCGUGCUGGUGUGGCUAAAUUAGAUGAUGGUACCACAUUAUUUUUGGUCCCACCGUCAGAUUUUCUGACGGAUGUUCUUAAUGUGACUGGACGUGAGCGAUUAUAUGGUGUAGUGCUUAAGCUGCCUCAGCAACUCCCAGGUGGUGCAUCUCUUCCACAGGCAGUACAGCAACCACUCCCUAUUCAGCAAACAGAAAGUCAGCUGGGUCCUCCUACACAUGAAUAUGUUGCUCCUGAUAGAGAAUUGGCUGCUCAUAUGGAUUAUGGUAGAGCUGUACAUGAUGACACAGCAAUGCAUUCUAAAGCACCCUUCCAGAAUGCGUCUGUUUCACAAGAUCAAUCUUAUGAAGGUGUUCCUUCUUCACAACGACCUGCUGUCACAUUAACACCUGAGCUUAUUGCUACACUUCAAGCAUUUAUGCCAUCCAAUUCCCAAUCUUCAGCCACUCAAAGUGCUCAGCCACAAUUAAGCUCUUCCACAACAGGGCUUACACUAUCCGUUUCAGCAAAUGAGAAAGGAGCUUUCUCACAGAAUUGGAGCCAACAGCCUCAAGUUAUUGACUCAACUGGGCAAUCUCAACAGUUCGGAAUUCAAGGAUAUUCUAAUGCACCACUUGCUACUAACUUCCAGUCAUUUGCGUCCACCUUAAACAUGGGAAGCCACCAUGUUCCACUUCCUUCAGCAAAUAUGCAAAUGCAAAAUCCUCAAUAUAACUUUCAGGAGCAGGGUUCUGUUGCUUUGCGGCCUCCUAGUGCUCAGCCAGUAACAGCACAGAACCAGCAAUUCAUGCCACCGAUGCAGAAUAUGCAGCCUCAUCCUUCAGAUGUUCCUCAUAAUUUUCAGAAGGGUUAUGGGAUGAUGCAUGGAACACCGGUUGGCUCUUAUGCGAAAGCAGAUAGUCAACAGCAUACUGAUCAAGGUUCCUACUCCAAUCAAGUUAAUGGUGCUAAUCUUUCCCGUCCAGAAACUUUCUUGCCAACCUCUGCUGGGAAUAUGAACUCAGAGUCUCUGAAUCCACUUGAAAGAUCGCAAACACUGCCAUCUGGAAUUGGUCAAGGCUCAUCAGAGGUUGAGGUUGACAAAAAUCAACGUUAUCAGUCUACUUUACAAUUUGCUGCCAAUCUUCUACUUCAAAUUCAGCAGCAGCAACAGCAGCAGUCAAGUUCCCAUAUGGGAAAUCAACAGUGAGAUUUCCUUUUCUAUAGGUGGGUAAAUUAAGGUUGAUUGCAAAGAGGGAGAGAGGGGAGUUGGUGAUCACUUUUGCAGAAGGUUGUGUAGAAUCUAGACAUUUCUGGGUAAUUACGAGGGUCAGCUGCUGAUGCAGCAGAGAUAAACUCAUCACGUUCAAGACUGUAUUUGUUAUGGAAAUUGAACAUUUUCUUUAUUUACUUUUCGUUUGUUAUCAAAAUAUUGGUAGUGUUGUAGUUAGGCAUUUUUUCUCCUUUCUUUUUGGUUCAUCUUAUGUUUAGUUGUGUUAGUCUCCUCUUUCCGUC
Beta vulgaris subsp. vulgaris (sugar beet) is the source of this 3539-nucleotide RNA transcript. It is a transcript of the gene named flowering time control protein FPA, with no coding region annotated. NCBI's taxonomy places the organism in Eukaryota, Viridiplantae, Streptophyta, Magnoliopsida, Caryophyllales, Amaranthaceae. The record is from RefSeq and is a predicted model, not a curated record. The transcript has 7 exons.